GAUGAACGCUGACAGAAUGCUUAACACAUGCAAGUCAACUUGAAUUUGGGUUUUUAACUUAGGUUUGGGUGGCGGACGGGUGAGUAACGCGUAAAGAACUUGCCUCACAGCUAGGGACAACAUUUGGAAACGAAUGCUAAUACCUAAUAUUAUGAUAAUAGGGCAUCCUAUAAUUAUGAAAGCUAUAAGCGCUGUGAGAGAGCUUUGCGUCCCAUUAGCUAGUUGGAGAGGUAACGGCUCACCAAGGCGAUGAUGGGUAGCCGGCCUGAGAGGGUGAUCGGCCACGAGGGGACUGAGACACGGCCCUUACUCCUACGGGAGGCAGCAGUGGGGAAUAUUGGACAAUGGACCGAGAGUCUGAUACAGCAAUUCUGUGUGAACGAUGAAGUUUUUCGGAAUGUAAAGUGCUUUCAGUUGGGAAGAAACAAAUGACGGUACCAACAGAAGAAGUGGCGGCUAAAUACGUG
RNAcentral lists this ribosomal RNA (467 nucleotides) under uncultured bacterium. Its description in RNAcentral is "partial 16S ribosomal RNA". It matches the Rfam family "Bacterial small subunit ribosomal RNA", at positions 28 to 507 of the family's 1533-position model. The record is from RNAcentral.